Maylandia zebra (zebra mbuna) is the source of this 192-nucleotide long non-coding RNA. RefSeq lists it as uncharacterized. The record is from RefSeq and is a predicted model, not a curated record. NCBI's taxonomy places the organism in Eukaryota, Metazoa, Chordata, Actinopteri, Cichliformes, Cichlidae.
CAGAGAGCACGGGACCACUAGAAAUGCAGAGUUUAGUUCACAUAUGAAAGGUCCACUCAGUUCUGAAAGUCUUACACCUGGCAGUUACAGGCAUUCACUGGAUUUGGAGUCUCACUUAGAAAGAAGGACCCAUCAAAGUCUAGAAAGGGUCCCAUCAAAACGCCAUCACCAUGAAUGGCCUCAGACGAAAGA